Molecule: non-coding RNA, 2717 nt
Organism: Heterocephalus glaber (naked mole-rat)
Lineage: Eukaryota; Metazoa; Chordata; Mammalia; Rodentia; Bathyergidae
Source: RefSeq, a predicted model, not a curated record
GUGCCCUGCCUCCUCACAUAAGAGGCGGAGGGGAAUCCAUGUGUGCACAUCCAGGACACGGGAAACGGAAUCCCUCAGGCAUGGCAGGAAUGACCACUAUGAGAGGAAGCGCCCGUCCCUGCCAGCACACACCAGCAGACCCAUUCAGCAAAGAACAGAUGUAACAGGGUCACCAAGGCAAGACUCAUCUCUCACCAAAGGAAAUCAGAGCAAGGAAGAAGCAGCAGUGUUCACUGGAGACACCUUCCAGUCUAGGAAGACCUAAGCACACCCACACUUCGUCCACCAAGCCCAAAGGAUCAGACAGUUAUUUCAUGAAAAGCCAUUACCAGAGCCUGAGAUUGCAGUGUGCAUCUGAUUGUUCCAAAAGCACCGCUGUGAUUCGGGGCCCAGCAUGCACUUGAGAGUAACAAGUCUUACUAGAAAAAUAGCAGCCACCCCCAGCUUAAUUCCUAGAGGAAAUCAAACCAUCUUGUUAAGAAAAUUCCCAGAGGAGAAAUUAUAUUAAGCAGCACCUCACCAUGCUGCUUGCCAGCCAUGAACCCUCUAGAAGGCAAGCCCAGCCUUGGGAAAGCAGUGAGUCCCACCAGGGCCCUGGCUGGCGGCUGGGGAAGAGGCACUUGCCCCUGACCGGCAGUGCAAUCCUCAGACAUGAGCACUCACUCCUUGCACUGGCAAGGCCUGGUCAGGGAAAUCAUUGCCACAGACCGAUUCUUCCUCUGUCCCUUUGCACUGCGGACUGUCUGCGUGACUGCCACCACCAUCAGCGCCAAAGAACAGGUCCUCCUCCAUGGAAGGUUUCCCUUAGUCCCACAGGAGGCUCUGGGAGUGGGGGCUUCAGACAAUGCACAGGGCCUCUUUCUCUCUCUGAGGCAGCUCGUUUUCCUAAAUGCCCCACUCCCAGCAAGUCAGAGUCCACAGCAACAGCCAAUAUGUGUGCAGUGCACAGGCACUUUUACACCCUUCAUCAUUAUUUAUGAACUAACUUCAAGGCGACGUCAUGUCCAUCGAGGAAACCUGACAUAUGCUCUUCCGUACCCACACAUGCAUGAAGAUAACGACCUUCUUAUUAUUCUGGACAGCAGGAAACAGUAUCUUCAGAUGUCAAUAUGGGCGGUACCACUCCCUUUACAGUGGAUCAGAGAAAAGCCAGAGCUGAAGGCUCCAUUCCCAAGCCACUCACCAGUCCCCAAACAUGCUGGCCUCUCUCGUGCCUCUUGGCCAGUGCUGUCCCCGUGGGCAGGAGUGGCCCACUGCAUCCACUCCCACAGCUCCUUCACCACUGGAUCGGGCCCAGGUUAAGCAGCCCAGCUCUUCUUCUUCUGAAUGGUACCUUAAUGUCUCCAUCCCCCCACUAUGGGAGGGCUCUGGGACAAGGGACCAUUCCCUGUUCAGAUCUGAAUACAUGGCCCAAGUACGUGCCCCUAGCAAGACACAAGUCAAGGCAAAGAAAAGGACAAAAGCCAAGACCCUCGAGCACAGCGUAUCUCCAGUACAGACUUCCCCUAUUCUAAAUUAAAGUUGACUUCUGAAAGUUCUUCCGCAGAGCCCCACUGGCCGCUCUAAUGAUGAGGAGGAUGGCCACUGCGCAGAUCAUGGAGGAGAGGAGCAGCAGGCGAGAGGCGCUGUGAAGCUGGCGGCCGCAGGAACCUCAGCGAAUCGCUUUGAGGAUAAAGGUUACGGCUCAGGGCCUGGCACAUGACCUGCACUCGCUAAAUGUUGUCCAUUAUUGGGCAACUGUAACUUUCUAGAGUGAAAUAAAAGCUGAUCACUUUGCCUCCACCCGGCCCCACACCCAGACUCUACACCCCAACUGCUGUCGCUGGAACUGGAGACCCAGCUACCUUCCACCUUACCAGGCCUUCGCCUCUGCUUCACCUGCUCUGCAGCACUCACGAGGUCACCUUGGAAUCCGGAGACUUCCUCACAGUUUCAGCCCUGGGAGAAAGGGACGCCAACAGCCCCCAGCUCCUAAGGCUUCUGUGUGGGGAAACAGGCAGGGGGAACAUAAGUGCUAAGACUGACACCGGCCCAUCCAGGCCCUCUGGAAAUGUGAGAUCCUGUCCCCAAGGCCAGCGUUAGUGCCAGCGUUGGUCUGAAUCUCCAUCGUAACUGCUCACACUUCUCUUAGAUUCCAAGAUCAAGUCUAAAUCGAAGCACAAUUAGAGACGUGUUUGCAACACUUUAAAAACUACUCGCUGCAGUGUGACACACACAGUCCAAAUCAUACCUCACUGGUCAUCAUUCACUACUUUUAAUGACAAUAAUGCAUAUGGAUGUAUCAACUCAACCAUGGACCGUGUUUAUUCCAGACCCCAGCUACCUAUAGAUCUUUUUAUCCCAGCUCCAGAGAGAAGAGAAAAACAGAGACAGGACAGGAGAAAACAGAAGAUAAGAGAACUAGAAGUCCUCAUCCUUGCUCUGACGCUGAAGAAAAGAAUCCAAUAGUUGGAAGAGCAGCAACGGGAAAUCAUUGUUUAAGUGGCUGAGAGUUUCUAACUGGACAAUGACAGGUUUUCAGGGUCAGUGGUAGGGUGGUUAUGUAACACUGUGUAUGGAGUUAGUGCCACUGAACUGUACCCUUAAAAUGAUUCAAAUGUUGUCUUUUUCUCAUUGCUGAGACAAAGUACCUGACACCCAAUCACAGGCAAGGGCCUGUGCAAGUCCCAUUUUAGAGGCAUCUGCUAUUCUCUGCCACUCUGCCCCUCUAAGGGACA